AAUACUUGGUGGCGACCGGCGCACGGGUGAGUAACGCGUAUGCAACCUACCUAUCAGAGGGGAAUAACCCGGCGAAAGUCGGACUAAUACCGCAUAAAACAGGGGCACCGCAUGGUGAUAUUUGUUAAAGAAAUUCGCUGAUAGAUGGGCAUGCGUUCCAUUAGGUAGUUGGUGAGGUAACGGCUCACCAAGCCGACGAUGGAUAGGGGAACUGAGAGGUUGGUCCCCCACACUGGUACUGAGACACGGACCAGACUCCUACGGGAGGCAGCAGUGAGGAAUAUUGGUCAAUGGGCGAGAGCCUGAACCAGCCAAGUCGCGUGAAGGAAGAAGGAUCUAUGGUUCGUAAACUUCUUUUGCAGGGGAAUAAAGUGCAGGACGUGUCCUGUUUUGUAUAUACCCUGAGAAUAAGGAUCGGCUAACUCCGUGCCAGCCGCUGC
RNAcentral lists this ribosomal RNA (440 nucleotides) under uncultured bacterium. RNAcentral describes it as "bacterial SSU rRNA". It matches the Rfam family "Bacterial small subunit ribosomal RNA", at positions 80 to 518 of the family's 1533-position model. The record is from RNAcentral.